This is a long non-coding RNA of Dromaius novaehollandiae (emu), 2316 nucleotides long. The record is from Ensembl. Lineage: Eukaryota; Metazoa; Chordata; Aves; Casuariiformes; Dromaiidae.
UUGAUUUGGCAUCCUCUGUCUCCCUCCUGCUGGAAGAUGGCCAUAGGCUUUGCUCUGGUGUUGAGCUGUUCAGAACUGGCCCCCGGACUCCCUAUGUCUGGGAAUUGCCCUGGAGGAAAGAAGGACUUCUGGGUUCCCACUGGAAUUAAUGCCUGCCUCAGACACGCUGUCUUGGGAGCUUUGGAGACAGGUUGCUUUAGAUCUUUGAAAUUUUAAGGGCCUUCUCAUCUGAACUGCUAGGAGACUUUCCAGGUUACCUUCAGAUGACAUAUACAGUAAAUCCCUUCAUCAGUCCUGUUGGUGCUUUUGAAACAGUGGGUGCCUAUCAGCAGUACAUGGAAAUGAGAUGGAUGCUGCUAAACCAGGCUACCUUCAUCCAAGUCAGUUUAUUAUUUAAAACAAUGUAUUACUGUAACACCAAAACGUUCUGGCCAGAUUUCAGCAUGACAUUGUUUGAGACACUGCGCAAGCACAGGACAGGAUAAUCCAUUGCUGUGAGGAGCCUACCCUUUAAUUUAAAGUUCACAUGUGGAUGGUACAGCUUUGAUGGGGUACUGGAAGUAUGUGACCAAGUGCGCGGUCUCAGAUGAACAUCCUUUUUCUUUUUGGUCUACAUUUCCGUUUGGUAUGUCUUUAUURGCUUGGCUGCCUUCCUCCUCUUUACAACUACCUUUUGAUCAAAGAAACAGAAGAGAGCUUUCUUCCUUCCCAGACACCGUGCARAAGUCCUAUGUGAAAUAGCCUCCUGUAGCCCACAAGUCUCUCAUAGUGAUAAUUCAGUCAGGUGACAAAUUCCAAUCUUGCCCUAUGGACCUUGUGCUGAUGCUGAUAAUCUCUUUGGGGAAUGACAGCAAGGAGACUGGAGGACUCUAAAUUUUAUUGGCAAGAUCCUGAGGGUCUGGCUAAGGUUUUUUGUAGAUUCCUCAGGGAAUCAGCCAAGCCUCUGUUAGUCUUCUGUUGAUACAGCUUGUGGCUUGAUCCUACGGAUAGGCUUGAGAAGCUCAGCUGUCCAUUUAGCCAAUUCAGUUAAAUGCAGGAUGGUGCUGACUGAAAGCUACGAUCAGCCAAAGGUGUCUCUUCCCCUAGAAGAAGAUUCUCUGUAUGUCAGCAACGAAGUGCAAAGGGGCACACUUGUGUUAGCACCACCCAGGCUGUCAACAAAGAACUUCUGUCCUUAGAGCUAUCAAAUGAAAUUCAUAUGAAUUUCUGACUCUUCCUAAACCACGUUCCUGCCAGGCAGAAGAGAUCACAAGAUUAAUCAGCAUUCUCUCCUUCGCCUUGUUGCAUCUCUACAAUUUUUAAGUACUGUGCCUAUCAUAAUGCUCCCAGGAGGUUUCCUUAACCACAACAUCUCAUCUCUGCAAACAGCUGCUUCCUUUUUGCACAAGAGUUCUUGGAGGCUUGCUUCACUUAUCAAAACUAAGCCACUGAAAAGCUGGGAAAUAACUAAGUUCUACUGGGAGAUGAAAUCCCAGCGCAGAUGGACAGAUUUGCUUAACCUAUAAAAUAAUUCUGGAAUAACUAUUGUCUUGGCAAAAUUCAAAAAUGUAACAAAGUUUGAUUGUUCUUGGCUUCUCCUGAUUUGCUUACUUUGGGGUUAUUUUUUGACCCUCAAGAUGCACAUGUUAUUCCCAUUACUGUUAACAGGAGUUAUAUAUACACACACAUGUCUAAGRGAGCCUUGACCAUUUACUUUUAGUGUUCCAAGGUCAGCUGAAGUCUGGACCUUUUACUUUCUCUAUGCUCCACUAAUUGAGAAAAAAAGCUUAUGCAAGACUUCCUUGGGGAACAUGGAGUCUGCGAUUUUUACAGCCCAUGAGGCUAAAAUUCAAAUAUGAACCACAGCUGUUUGGACGGGAGUCCUGGACCUCUUCAUUUUGAACUAUAGUGACCUGUUCAAUCUCACCAACACAGGAAGCUCCAAGAUCCCGGCGUAGCUAUUGCCUGGGAUGGGAGAUUUGCCUGCCAGGCAUAUCUGGGUAUAGUAAGCAAUUUAUAGUUCUCUGGGAUUUGCAGGUGGAAAGGCUGUUUACACAUAUACACACACACACAUAUGCAUUUAUAUACACAUCACAUUUUUGUGUGUCUGUACAUAUAUAUAUGUACAUAUAUAUGUGUGUGUGUGUCUAUACAUAUAUCAAGCUUUUAAUAUAUAUUCACCAUUCUAACAAGCUGACCAAAUGUUCUUGUUGAAGAUGAUGAAGUUCUUUCUUGCUAGGUACAGGUAUUUCUGUGAGUCCUGCUGGUAAGAGGUAAAAUAAGAAGAAAAACAGAGUGUAGAAUAAACUUCUCUUUUGAUUUAAGUAGUGAUAGACC